Molecule: long non-coding RNA, 958 nt
Organism: Canis lupus familiaris (dog)
Lineage: Eukaryota; Metazoa; Chordata; Mammalia; Carnivora; Canidae
Exons: 3
Source: RefSeq, a predicted model, not a curated record
CAGAUUUUUGAGCCUAAAAACUGACUAUCAUAAGCAUAAAUGAAGACAUUUGGAAGCCUGCUAACACCUGUAGAAAAGCCCUGACUUUGGAAAGCUUGUAAGCACUGAAUAAUAUUUCAUCAUCUGGACAUACCACAGUUUAUCCAUUCACCUACUGAAGGAUAUUGCUUCUAUGUUUUGGCAAUCAUGAGUAGAGCUGCUAUAAAUAUCUAUGUCCAGGAUUUUGUGUGGAUAGAGAGAGAAAAAGAGCAGGAGGAGGAGCAAAGGAAAAGGGAUAAGUAUACUCUAUGUUGAGCACGAAGCCUGACACAGGGCUCAAUCCCAUGACCUGAGAUCAUGACCUAAGCUGAAAUCAAGAGGCAGUUAUCUGGCUGACCAACCCAGGAACUUCUCUUCAACAAUACCUUAUGGGUAUUUUAAAGAUUUCUAAAAUUAUUUUCUCUUCUAUUGGAAUUAAACAUAUAACCAACAAAGUAACUUCUAAUAUGCAUCCAAAUGAGACUGAAGAGACACUCCUUUGAUGUUGGAGGAUGUCAUCAUAUGGACAUGACGGUCAGUUGACCCAUGAGCUAGCCCCGGGCAAUUACAGACUCUUCACUCCCUCUCCUGUCCUGGGGAUGUACAUUCUGCCCACCAUUUCCACACUAUGAGCUGCUUCAAGGACAUAGCCUUGAGAGAGUAAGGUAUUUUGAGACCAUCUGGACUGAAAAAAUGACUGAAUCCAGUUAAGGCUUCUACAUAAACUUUAAGAUUCUGACAGGUAGGUGUGGAGAUCUACUUAUUUUGUAGCCACCCAAGAGAAGCCUCAUAUGUAAGUUCCCUUGCUUAUUAAAACUGCCGCUUACCACCUUGAGUGGUCUGACUCUUUUUACAGUCUCUCCUUGACCUGUAUAUCGAAGCUAAUUUCAUAUUUCACCCAAGGAACUACUGAGGUUGCAACAUCAAUAUUUGGUCUACU